GAGUUUGAUCCUGGCUCAGGAUGAACGCUAGCGGCAGGCUUAAUACAUGCAAGGCGAAGGGGCAGCAAUGUCACUGUCGUACGGGUGCGUAACGCGUAUGCAACCUACCUUUUACUGGGGGAUAGCCCGGGGAAACCCGGAUUAAUACCGCAUAACACAUUUAUAUCACCUGAUAUUUAUUGUUAAAGAUUUAUUGGUAAAAGAUGGGCAUGCGUUCGAUUAGCUAGUUGGCAGGGUAACGGCCUACCAAGGCUACGAUCGAUAGGGGAGCUGAGAGGUUGAUCCCCCACACGGGCACUGAGAUACGGGCCCGACUCCUACGGGAGGCAGCAGUAGGGAAUAUUGGGCAAUGGAUGCAAGUCUGACCCAGCCAUGCCGCGUGCCGGAAGAAGGCCCUCAGGGUUGUAAACGGCUUUUAUUCGGGAAGAAGAGCAGGGAUGCGUCCUUGUGUGACGGUACCGAAUGAAUAAGCACCGGCUAACUCCGUGCCAGCAGCCGCGGUAAUACGGAGGGUGCGAGCGUUGUCCGGAUUUAUUGGGUUUAAAGGGUGCGUAGGUGGCUAAUUAAGUCAGUGGUGAAAUACAGCCGCUCAACGGUUGAGGUGCCAUUGAUACUGACUAGCUUGAAAUAAUUGGAGGCUGCCGGAAUGGAUGGUGUA
Molecule: ribosomal RNA, 658 nt
Filed under: uncultured bacterium
Lineage: Bacteria
Description: bacterial SSU rRNA
Rfam family: Bacterial small subunit ribosomal RNA
Source: RNAcentral